AGAGUUUGAUCCUGGCUCAGGACGAACGCUGGCGGCGUGCCUAACACAUGCAAGUGGAGCGACGAACCAGGCUUCGGCCUGGGGCAAAGCCGCGAACGGGUGAGUAACACGUGGGCAACCUGCCCCCUAGCUUGGAAUAACUUCGGGAAACCGAAGCUAAUACCAAAUAAUCUUUUUCCUAGCAUUGGGAGGAAGUAAAA
This 200-nucleotide ribosomal RNA is filed under the name uncultured bacterium. RNAcentral's name for it is "partial 16S ribosomal RNA". It matches the Rfam family "Bacterial small subunit ribosomal RNA", at positions 8 to 206 of the family's 1533-position model. The record is from RNAcentral.